Non-coding RNA from Desulfosporosinus sp. BRH_c37, 133 nucleotides. Lineage: Bacteria; Bacillati; Bacillota; Clostridia; Eubacteriales; Desulfitobacteriaceae. The record is from Rfam.
GAUGUCAAGCAGAAGCCAUCCGCUUCUCACCUUACGGCGUUCGUCGUUAAGGUAUCUUCUGGUCCUGAGCUUAGUUUUUAUGCUCGCGAUUGUUUAGAAGACGGGUGGUAUACAUCCGUCUUUUUUGUUUUGA